RNAcentral lists this transfer RNA (74 nucleotides) under Candidatus Nutricula glyptotermitis. RNAcentral's name for it is "tRNA-Pro". It matches the Rfam family "tRNA". From Rfam's summary of the family: Transfer RNA (tRNA) molecules are approximately 80 nucleotides in length. Their secondary structure includes four short double-helical elements and three loops (D, anti-codon, and T loops). Further hydrogen bonds mediate the characteristic L-shaped molecular structure. tRNAs have two regions of fundamental functional importance: the anti-codon, which is responsible for specific mRNA codon recognition, and the 3' end, to which the tRNAs corresponding amino acid is attached (by aminoacyl-tRNA synthetases). tRNAs cope with the degeneracy of the genetic code in two manners: having more than one tRNA (with a specific anti-codon) for a particular amino acid; and 'wobble' base-pairing, i.e. permitting non-standard base-pairing at the 3rd anti-codon position. The record is from RNAcentral. Lineage: Bacteria; Bacillati; Actinomycetota; Actinomycetes; Bifidobacteriales; Bifidobacteriaceae.
CGGGAUGUGGCGCAGCUUGGUAGCGCGUUCGACUGGGGGUCGAGAGGUCGCAAGUUCAAAUCUUGUCAUCCCGA